AGACGAAUCAUCUGGAAAGAUGAAUCAAAGAAGGUAAUAAUCCUGUAGUCGAAAAUGUUGUCUCUCUUGAGUGGAUCCUGAGUACGACGGAGCACGUGAAAUUCCGUCGGAAUCUGGGAGGACCAUCUCCUAAGGCUAAAUACUCUCUAGUGACCGAUAGUGAACCAGUACCGUGAGGGAAAGGUGAAAAGCACCCCGGAAGGGGAGUGAAAUAGAACCUGAAACCGUGUGCUUACAAGUAGUCAGAGCCCGUUAAUGGGUGAUGGCGUGCCUUUUGUAGAAUGAACCGGCGAGUUACGAUUUGAUGCAAGGUUAAGCAGUAAAUGUGGAGCCGUAGCGAAAGCGAGUCUGAAUAGGGCGUUUAGUAUUUGGUCGUAGACCCGAAACCAGGUGAUCUACCCUUGGUCAGGUUGAAGUUCAGGUAACACUGAAUGGAGGACCGAACCGACUUACGUUGAAAAGUGAGCGGAUGAACUGAGGGUAGCGGAGAAAUUCCAAUCGAACCUGGAGAUAGCUGGUUCUCUCCGAAAUAGCUUUAGGGCUAGCCUCAAGUGAUGAUUAUUGGAGGUAGAGCACUGUUUGGACGAGGGGCCCCUCUCGGGUUACCGAAUUCAGACAAACUCCGAAUGCCAAUUAAUUUAACUUGGGAGUCAGAACAUGGGUGAUAAGGUCCGUGUUCGAAAGGGAAACAGCCCAGACCACCAGCUAAGGUCCCAAAAUAUAUGUUAAGUGGAAAAGGAUGUGGCGUUGCCCAGACAACUAGGAUGUUGGCUUAGAAGCAGCCAUCAUUUAAAGAGUGCGUAAUAGCUCACUAGUCGAGUGACACUGCGCCGAAAAUGUACCGGGGCUAAACAUAUUACCGAAGCUGUGGAUUGUCCUUUGGACAAUGGUAGGAGAGCGUUCUAAGGGCGUUGAAGCAUGAUCGUAAGGACAUGUGGAGCGCUUAGAAGUGAGAAUGCCGGUGUGAGUAGCGAAAGACGGGUGAGAAUCCCGUCCACCGAUUGACUAAGGUUUCCAGAGGAAGGCUCGUCCGCUCUGGGUUAGUCGGGUCCUAAGCUGAGGCCGACAGGCGUAGGCGAUGGAUAACAGGUUGAUAUUCCUGUACCACCUAUAAUCGUUUUAAUCGAUGGGGGGACGCAGUAGGAUAGGCGAAGCGUGCGAUUGGAUUGCACGUCUAAGCAGUAAGGCUGAGUAUUAGGCAAAUCCGGUACUCGUUAAGGCUGAGCUGUGAUGGGGAGAAGACAUUGUGUCUUCGAGUCGUUGAUUUCACACUGCCGAGAAAAGCCUCUAGAUAGAAAAUAGGUGCCCGUACCGCAAACCGACACAGGUAGUCAAGAUGAGAAUUCUAAGGUGAGCGAGCGAACUCUCGUUAAGGAACUCGGCAAAAUGACCCCGUAACUUCGGGAGAAGGGGUGCUCUUUAGGGUUAACGCCCAGAAGAGCCGCAGUGAAUAGGCCCAAGCGACUGUUUAUCAAAAACACAGGUCUCUGCUAAACCGUAAGGUGAUGUAUAGGGGCUGACGCCUGCCCGGUGCUGGAAGGUUAAGAGGAGUGGUUAGCUUCUGCGAAGCUACGAAUCGAAGCCCCAGUAAACGGCGGCCGUAACUAUAACGGUCCUAAGGUAGCGAAAUUCCUUGUCGGGUAAGUUCCGACCCGCACGAAAGGCGUAACGAUUUGGGCACUGUCUCAACGAGAGACUCGGUGAAAUCAUAGUACCUGUGAAGAUGCAGGUUACCCGCGACAGGACGGAAAGACCCCGUGGAGCUUUACUGUAGCCUGAUAUUGAAAUUCGGCACAGCUUGUACAGGAUAGGUAGGAGCCUUUGAAACGUGAGCGCUAGCUUACGUGGAGGCGCUGGUGGGAUACUACCCUAGCUGUGUUGGCUUUCUAACCCGCACCACUUAUCGUGGUGGGAGACAGUGUCAGGCGGGCAGUUUGACUGGGGCGGUCGCCUCCUAAAAGGUAACGGAGGCGCUCAAAGGUUCCCUCAGAAUGGUUGGAAAUCAUUCAUAGAGUGUAAAGGCAUAAGGGAGCUUGACUGCGAGACCUACAAGUCGAG
Molecule: ribosomal RNA, 2058 nt
Filed under: Staphylococcus aureus
Lineage: Bacteria; Bacillati; Bacillota; Bacilli; Caryophanales; Staphylococcaceae
Description: partial 23S ribosomal RNA
Rfam family: Bacterial large subunit ribosomal RNA
Source: RNAcentral